UACGGAGGGUGCAAGCGUUAAUCGGAAUUACUGGGCGUAAAGCGUGCGCAGGCGGUUUGUUAAGUCCGCUGUGAAAUCCCCGAGCUCAACUUGGGAAUUGCAGUGGAUACUGGCAAGCUGGAGUGUGGUAGAGGAAGGUGGAAUUCCCGGUGUAGCAGUGAAAUGCGUAGAGAUCGGGAGGAACACCAGUGGCGAAGGCGGCCUUCUGGACCAAUACUGACGCUCAUGCACGAAAGCGUGGGGAGCAAACAGG
Molecule: ribosomal RNA, 253 nt
Filed under: uncultured bacterium
Lineage: Bacteria
Description: partial 16S ribosomal RNA
Rfam family: Bacterial small subunit ribosomal RNA
Source: RNAcentral